This 377-nucleotide ribosomal RNA is filed under the name uncultured bacterium. RNAcentral describes it as "bacterial SSU rRNA". It matches the Rfam family "Bacterial small subunit ribosomal RNA", at positions 521 to 896 of the family's 1533-position model. The record is from RNAcentral.
UAAUACGGAGGUGGCUAGCGUUGUUCGGAAUUACUGGGCGUAAAGGGCGCGUAGGCGGCUUUGCAAGUCAGAUGUGAAAGCCCCGGGCUUAACUCGGGAACUGCAUCUGAAACUGCUUAGCUUGAGUCCUGGAGGGGGUAGUGGAAUUCCCAGUGUAGCGGUGAAAUGCGUAGAUAUUGGGAGGAACACCUGCGGCGAAGGCGGCUACCUGGACAGUGACUGACGCUGAGGCGCGAAAGCUAGGGGAGCGAACGGGAUUAGAUACCCCGGUAGUCCUAGCCGUAAACGAUGGGCACUUGGUGUUGGGGGUAUUGAGUCCCUCGGUGCCGGAGUUAACACGUUAAGUGCCCCGCCUGGGGAGUACGGUCGCAAGACUG